This 254-nucleotide ribosomal RNA is filed under the name uncultured prokaryote. RNAcentral's name for it is "partial 16S ribosomal RNA". It matches the Rfam family "Bacterial small subunit ribosomal RNA", at positions 524 to 777 of the family's 1533-position model. The record is from RNAcentral.
UACGGAGGAUGCGAGCGUUAUCCGGAUUUAUUGGGUUUAAAGGGUGCGUAGGCGGAUGAAUAAGUCAGUGGUGAAAGGCUGCAGCUUAACUGUAGACUUGCCGUUGAUACUGUUUGGCUAGGAUUUGGUUGUAGUGUGCGGAAUGUGUGGUGUAGCGGUGAAAUGCUUAGAUAUCACACAGAACACCGAUUGCGAAGGCAGCACACUAAGUCAUUAUUGACGCUGAGGCACGAAAGUGUGGGGAUCAAACAGGA